GGUAGUCCACGCCGUAAACGAUGAGUGCUAAGUGUUGGAGGGUUUCCGCCCUUCAGUGCUGCAGCAAACGCAUUAAGCACUCCGCCUGGGGAGUACGACCGCAAGGUUGAAACUCAAAGGAAUUGACGGGGGCCCGCACAAGCGGUGGAGCAUGUGGUUUAAUUCGAAGCAACGCGAAGAACCUUACCAGGUCUUGACAUCCUUUGACCACUCUAGAGAUAGAGCUUUCCCUUCGGGGACAAAGUGACAGGUGGUGCAUGGUUGUCGUCAGCUCGUGUCGUGAGAUGUUGGGUUAAGUCCCGCAACGAGCGCAACCCUUAUUGUUAGUUGCCAUCAUUUAGUUGGGCACUCUAGCGAGACUGCCGGUGACAAACCGGAGGAAGGUGGGGAUGACGUCAAAUCAUCAUGCCCCUUAUGACCUGGGCUACACACGUGCUACAAUGGGAAGUACAACGAGUCGCUAGACCGCGAGGUCAUGCAAAUCUCUUAAAGCUUCUCUCAGUUCGGAUUGCAGGCUGCAACUCGCCUGCAUGAAGCCGGAAUCGCUAGUAAUCGCGGAUCAGCACGCCGCGGUGAAUACGUUCCCGGGCCUUGUACACACCGCCCGUCACACCACGAGAGUUUGUAACACCCGAAGUCGGUGAGGUAACCUUUUUGGAGCCAGCCGCCUAAGGUGGGAUAGAUGAUUGGGGUGAAGUCGUAACAAGGUAACC
This 713-nucleotide ribosomal RNA is filed under the name uncultured bacterium. RNAcentral describes it as "bacterial SSU rRNA". It matches the Rfam family "Bacterial small subunit ribosomal RNA", at positions 789 to 1501 of the family's 1533-position model. The record is from RNAcentral.